CUGCACACAGUUCCCAGACCUGCCUCCUCCGCUGACCCGAGUCUCAUCCCGUGGGAAAGUAGGGAGACGGCGCCGUGCCCAGCAGGUCUCUGCUCCCCGAGCAGCUCAGCUGCACCCGAGGACGGAGGGCCGGCAGCCCCGGCUUCGGUCCCCACUGGCGCGGGCAUCCAGGUGCAGGGGCACAGGGGCCCAGCGAGUCAUGUUCUGGCCUGCAGGGCGGCGUGCUGGCCACUCCUCUGCCUUUGGGAUCUGCAACAAAGAAAGCAAGCUAGCGCCGCAGCCAGUGCCCGGCCCACACUGCUGGCCGCGGAGCCCACUGCCCUGCACACCCUGGGCGCCGGAGCUGGCCCAGCCCAGAGCCACGGCUUGCUCCGGCCCUCGGCGCUGAGCUGGGCUGAUGGCGCCAUCCUGUUCCUCCAAGCCCAGGGCCCUCCCAGCCACUGGACGUGCACAGGCGUUGCCCAUCGCCAAGUCCCUGACAGCGUCCAUCGGCUCCCUCGUGUAAACCAGCUCGCCUGCCAGGGUCGCCACCUCUGCCUGGAGCCGCUCUGUCCACCAGGCCCCAGGCUGCUGCCCCAUGGAGCUUGCAACCGACACCUCCCGCUAUCCUGGGAGCCCAGGGCAGCUGAUGGCCCCACAGGGUCUGCUGAGGCCCAGACCCCACGUCCUUCUGCUGCAGAGCCUGCUGCCAGCCCGGGCCAUGGCCACAGUCACACGGCCACAUGGCCACGUGGCCACGCUCCCAACGCACAGCGGAUCCUUCCACUCCUAAUCCUUCCACAUCUGCCCACAGUAACACCACGCAGCCGAGGCCCCUCUCCCGAGGGCCUGCUACGUGCCAGGUGCCACGUGCUGUGCCACAGGCUCCCACAAGCUUCCCAGAAGCCCGACAGAAGCACGAGGUGCACCCCAUCGAACAGGGAGGAGACCGAGGCCCGUGGUCUUCAGGACGAGGCCCGAUCCUUGCACCGGAGUGAGGGCCUCUGGCUCUGGGCCGCAUUCAGAGGCAGCAGCACCUCCCAGAAUGCACUGCCAGCCCCCCCUCGCGGCUGCGAUCGCCACUCCAGGGUGGGAGGCAGGGGAUCUGCACUAAAGGCACCCCCGUCCUGCCCUGACCGGGCCUACUCCUCCCUUGUCACAGCCACUCUCACGUCCCACCCCUCCCAUGCUGUCUGGCUCCUGACCUCCGCCCUCACCCCUGCCCAUGCUUCCUGGUCGAGCUCUCUCCUCCUUCCAGCAGGGGGCACCAGUGGCCACACUCGACGGGGUGGGGGGCUCCCCAGCAGGUGCCCUGGGCCCUUUGGGGGGCUCGGCCGCCUCCCACAGAGCAGAGCCCACCACUCGGGGAAUGCCCAGGUGUUCCUAGGACACUGCGGGAAGUCCUUCCGGAGGAGAGGGGCGCCCACCUGGCUCACACACCUGCAACCCGGGCGCUUACCUGGAGGCAGGGAGCAGACACGAGGUCAAGCGGGCAAACAUCUGGGACACCAGCCACUGCAGCCACUGGACGUCGUCGGGGAGGUCGGGGAGCCACAGCACCAGUCUGCAGAACACCCCACCACCACCACAUGUGCUUGUGCGCGUACACACUCACCACGCAGGUGCACAUGGCCACACACGUGUGCUCGGCGUGUCGGCAUGAGGGCGAGCCCAGCACAGCGUGAACCUGGCGCGGCUGUCACAGAGGGACGCUGCCCGUGUCGCCCCGUGUCACCCCGCGUCCUGCACGGACGCGCUCCCGGGAGGUGGACACUGCCAGUUUGGGUGAGCCGAGAGUAA
Molecule: long non-coding RNA, 1779 nt
Organism: Oryctolagus cuniculus (rabbit)
Lineage: Eukaryota; Metazoa; Chordata; Mammalia; Lagomorpha; Leporidae
Source: Ensembl